RNAcentral lists this long non-coding RNA (5064 nucleotides) under Medicago truncatula (barrel medic). RNAcentral's name for it is "long non-coding RNA (MTRU_LNC007238)". Lineage: Eukaryota; Viridiplantae; Streptophyta; Magnoliopsida; Fabales; Fabaceae. The record is from RNAcentral.
CAGACUCACAUUUCAGUGAAAAACUCGGCAGGGAGGUAUUUUGAAAUACCUCAUAAAGUUCCGAAUCGGACCUGUUAUACCCUGUUUUUGGACCUAAAAAUACUGGGCCCAAUUUCAUUUCAAACUUUGUCAAUUAUCAAAUUUCAACUGCACAGUUCAAAUUGUCUCUGCCUCGCAGUAUUUUCAAUCACAAUUUUACCUAUGUUUUUCUUGCAUAAAAUCUUUCGAAAUGUCUUUACUUGUCUUGUAAGUCAUUCAAAAGUGUCUCUGAAUCAUUACAUUGCUUUUUCUACAGUUUAUUUCAAAAUUUGCAAAAAGUCAUACAGAAGGGUAUUUUGGUCAUUUCCUGCAGUGGGACCCAUUUUCAUCCUUGUGACUGUCUCUGAGCCUUUUCAGAUUGAUUUUUAACGUUUCAUCAGUAAGCCUUGUUAAAUUCAUUUCAAACUUGCAUCUGAGUCAGUGUCAAGUCAAUUUGAAUCUGUUUAGGUCAAUUUUAGCCCUAGGGGCAUUUUGGUCAUUUCACACAAAAUUUUGGCAUAGAGAGGUUACUUUGAAGUACCUCAUUUAAGCCAUUGGUUCGUUUUAGUCCGUUUUGUCAAUUUUAUUUUUGUUUCGCUUUACGUUUUGUCAAGUUACCAAUUUUAUUUCAAUUUUAUUUUUAUUUUUGCAUUUUGGUCCUCGAAGAGGUCCAAAAUUGCAUUCCAGUCCAGUUUUCUUUCCAAUUUACAUUUCAGUCCUUUUUGGUUAAUUGCAGUUUAGUCCUUAAAGUUCUUAUUUUUGCAGAAAGGUCCAAAUUUCAUUUUUUGUCCAAAGCCGUGCCAUUUUUUUUUUCAAGUCCAGGUGUCCUUUUCUCAUUGGUUCAGAAGCACACAUGUCAAGCUAUAAAAGGUGUACAGUGUCACGCAGAGCCAUCAAUCACACGCCAACUCAUAAACACAAAUCCAAUUUUCUCUCUCUGGGCUAUUGAAUCAAAACAGAAAAUCUCUCAAAAUUUCUCAAGAACACCAAGAACAAAAACCCUAACCGUUUUCCAGAAACUCAAAAAGUUCAUCAGAAUCAAUAAUUUUUGGAUCAAUUCUCAGAGAUUCUGUGGAAUCUUCAUCAUCGAAUUGAUCAUUUCUCUGCAAUUCAAAACGCGAGCUCGCAUUGAAGCAAGCUCAAGCGUUGAUCACAGAGGGGAGAUCAGAAGAGGGAAAGAAGCAAGGUUUACACCGGCGAAGAAGAUGAAGAAGCAGAAUCAGUGAAAUCACCGGUUUAUUUUCGGUCCAGCAACCAAAUCAACAACACAGAAAACGAAGAAUCGAGUGUUUCCGAAGAAAUUCAACAGAAUCUCCAAUCAAAAACUUCAGGUAAAACUCAGAACAGAAUUUCUUUUCAAAAAAUAAUAUCAUAGCUUAAACCUGUAAAAAUCACGCAAGCAAACAGAUCUAAAAUUUCCAGAAUUCAAAGAUAAAACCGUAACCGUAAACACAAAACCUAGAUCCAUAAGGAUCUAAGUUUUGAAAGCAAGAACAAGCAUCAAAGAAGUAAUAAACGACGAAACGAUGUAGAUCUUCAAGGAUCUAAACGCUUUAUUUCAAAAAGAUCAAAAAAGAUCAAUUUCAAAACCGUACGAAAUUUUCAGAUCUACGUCGUUUCAAGCUGUGUUUGAGAAAAUAAUUGCUGGAUUCGUGUUUAGGGUUAAAGGACGAAUCAAAAGAUGUGAAAAUCUUUAAGUUCUGGAAAUUUCAGGUCACCGGAGGUGCUAGGUCUCGCCGGAGAAGAUGAAGUUUUCGGCGGACCUUCAAGGUCUCCGCCGUAGCUUCAUCCUCACCGGCGGUGAGGUUCUAGAGAGAGGUGAGAGAUGAGAGAAGAGAGAAGAGUUUAGAGAGAGAAAGGAGUGUAAAGAAUGAAAAAACCGGUGCUGAUGUACUUAUAUAGCCAGUGAACCGGACCGGUCCAGGACCGGUCCAAUCUCCUUCAUCCCUGGCCGUUGGAUCUAGGGUUUCCUACCCUGGAUCAAUCCAACGUCUCCUGUGCAAUCUGAGUUUUGUGUGUUGGGCUUUGGGUUGGGCUUAGGUUUCUUUUACGUUUUUGUUUAUUUUCCUGCUAUUUGCACCAUAUUUCUUUGCUGUUUGAACCCCUGCAUGCUUAAAUUUUCUCUAAAAAAUCUCCAAAAAUUAUCACAUGUUUCUUGAUAUAUUUUCAUGUCUUUUUUAUAUUUCUCAAUGGUUUAAAAAUGGUAAAAAAAAGCAUGUGAUAUUUCUUGGUUAAUUAGUGUGUUUAGACAUAAACUUGUGCAUUUUUUAGUAGCAUAUCCCUCAUGAAUUGUUGGCAUGUGAUUUGAACUUUUGGAAUGCAAUUUUGUGAUAAAUUUGUUGCUGAUUACAUGUUUGAUUCGCUGCUUGUAUGUCUCAAUUUCAUCUCCCUUCUUGGCUUGCAAUUAGUAUGCAUUUUUGCUAGUAAAUAAAGUGCCACAAUAUUUUGAAAGUGUGCUAUAAACUUUAGCAUCAAAUAUGUCCCAUUUUUUUUCACAUUAUGGCACAAAACAAGACUUCUAAAAAUGCCAUAAUGAAGGGAUUAUGGGUCAUAUCUAUGCUAGAGCCUUAUGACCAUUCUCAUGCACAUUUUGUCACUUUAUUAGUUUCUUUUAUGUCUUUCCUCUUAAUAAUUUUUUUUUUGUGCACUUCUUUUAUUCUAUGCUUUAUUUUACUAACUAUUUCAUCUCAUGUGACACACAUUUCAUAGCAUUUCACUACCUCCUCCACUUCCUUUAGCUUAGCAUUUAUUUUUGCAAGUUUUAAUCCAUUUGGUGAUGUAAUUUGUUAUCAUUGGUUUGUAGCUUGGCAAAGGGGCCGUAGAAUGUAUUUAGGCAAUUUUUGUAAUAUGGACUAUGGACACUAUGGCGCACCGGCACGCACACACUCACCCUAGAUGUAUGCCUAGGAUUGCAUGUGUAGAUGUAUGGCUAGGAUUGCAUGGUUAGAUGAAUGCUUAGGUUUAAACACUUAGAGAAAAUCCAACUUUUUUCCAAAAAAUAUGCAAACAAACUCGCUUCAAAUAUUUUUCAUAAAAAUGGAGUCAAAACUCCAACAACUUUUCACCUUUUAUUUUCUUAAUAAAAUUCUCAAAUAAAUCUAAUCAUUUAGACUUUUUUGCAAAAUCACUAAACAAACCCCCACUUUUUCAUACUCUAAUGCUCAUGAAGCCUCUCAAUCCCCUUCUUCAAAAUCAUUUUCAAAAUUUAAAAUCAAACAAUUAAAACAAAAAAACAACAAGUCUUUUUAGCAAGAACUACGCCGGUUUUGAUCCCGUAAAACGGUACGUAGGCAAGGGACUUUAACCCCUCCAAGCCGAAAUAAAAUCAAAUCCUACUUCUUCUCACCCCCAUUCUUCACUCAAAUAAAACUUCUUUUCUUUCAAUAAGUAGGCAAUAAAAAUAAAGCGUAGAAAUCAACUUAGGAGAGCGGCUCUUAUGGAGUACCAUAAUCGCUCCGGGUGCCUAACACCUUCCCGUAGCGAAAACGACCCCCGAACUUAGAAUCUAAGGGUUUUUCUCAAUUUUGCCCUUCCCAAGAAAAAAGAGAGAUAUCAACGGUCAAAAGGUUCAAGUCCAAUUAAUGGCUUGGCACCCAAAAACCAUGAUAACAGGACCUCCUUCUCUUAGUCCUCAAUCAUUUAUUUCCAUCUUUUAUUUUCUUUUUUUUAUUUUUUAUUAAUUAACUUUAAUUUCGUUUUAAAUCUUUUUUAUUUUAUCUAAUCAUUUAGUCCCCAUCUUUUUAUUUUAUUGUUUAUUUAUUUUUUUCUUUUGUCCAUAAGUCGGUCCAAGUUCACACGCAUCGAUCCAAACUCCCUGUCUCACGCGUUUCAAUCAGGCUUUUCAAUCCAAAGAACAUAAAGCUUCUCAUCAUCCAAAUCCUAUUCCAACCCAAUCCAGCUUUCACCAACUGCAGAAACUCAGGAACAGAAUCACACUCCUCUCUCCAUCCCAAUCACCUAAAUUCUGCGGAUUUUUAACAAACCCUAGCCUCAGCCCAGCACUAUAAAUAUAGAGCCUGCACAACGCAAGAAUCACACAACAGAAGGAGGGGAAACGCACAGAGAAAGCAAACGCGUACAAGAAAGCAGAAUCACACAUCAAGUAGCCGGAGUCCAACCGACCGCGCCUUACAACAUCAAAACCGUGACACAACAGCACCGGCAGCCGUUUCCAACAUCAAGGAGACCGUGAAACGCUUCAAUACAGGCCGAUUCAACACCGUUCAAAAAAAUCCGAAUUAAAAAGGUAUAAAAAAUUUCUUCCCUUUUUAGAUCUAGGUUGAACCGUGCCUGUUUUGAAAGUUUCAGACAUAAAAUUGGAACCAGAAGAAGGAAUAGAGUAGGUUUAGAGAAAAAAAAAAUAAAAAAAUAUAAGUUUAGGGUUCUGGCACGGUGGCGCCGCCGCACCGGCCGGCCAACCGCCGCCGGAACCCACCUUACCUCCGUCGGUGAAGAUGAAGUUCCACCGGAAACUUCAUAAGCAACCCAGAAUUGAAGAACAUUCAUGAGGGAGAGAUGAGAGAAAUCUAGAGAGAAGAGAGAGGUUUUGAAUGCUAGAGAGAGAAACAACAUGUUAAAAUGAAAAAACCAGCCACUGCCUAUAUAUAUCUAGGCUGAACCGUUUCAGCCAUUGAACCGAACCGGACCAAAACCGUUUCCCUUUAAGCCCAUGCGCCCGCUGCACCCAGUAGGCCCAAUUCUCUUUCUGCUUGCUAUUCUGCACACCCUUGAAUACUGCUGCACCCCACCUUGUGAUUGAACCCAUUUUAUUUUAAAUUCUGCAUGCAUUUUAGAAUUAAUUAUGUCAUUUAUUUCACAGCAAGGAUAUGAGAAUGUAUAUAUAGGUUUAAUGUAAAUUAUUUAUUUUUUCGUCAUUUACUUUUCGCAGACCAUAGCAUGUAUCUAGGUUUUAAUGUAAAUCAUGCAUGUGUGCGUGUGUGGGUGAAUGCUCUACUUUUCUGCUUAGGUUAUUACGUUUUAUUUUCUUGCUCCGUUAGUUUAGCAAUUAUUCAAAAACAACGAAAACAUGCAAAUAACAAAAAUCAC